Molecule: RNA transcript, 1763 nt
Organism: Cajanus cajan (pigeon pea)
Lineage: Eukaryota; Viridiplantae; Streptophyta; Magnoliopsida; Fabales; Fabaceae
Gene name: arginine biosynthesis protein ArgJ family
Source: RefSeq, a predicted model, not a curated record
CUAGUUUGGUUGGGUGGAAGAAUCUGCGCAGCCAAAACUCGACAACAUAGCUAUACACACACACACAGUUAACUCACUCACUUACCUUCCUCGCCUCGCUUCUCAUCAAACCCUAAAACAUUACAUUUCACAGAAAUGUACUCGUGUAUUCCUCACUUAGCAUCUUCCCCAAAACUCACUCCUUCUUCUCAUCAUCAAUGUAUGUUCUCUUCCCGGACAAAACACAUGUUUGGAUUAGCCUCUUCUGCGCCUCAUUUCAGGAUCCGUGCUGUAUCAACCACGCAGAAUCACAUACCACCUGCUCCUAUUUUUCUCCCCCAAGGACCUUGGAACCAGAUUCCCGGCGGAGUUACUGCUGCAGAGGGAUUCAAAGCUGCGGGAAUCUACGGAGGGUUGCGUGCCAAAGGUGAAAAGCCUGAUCUCGCGCUUGUCACGUGCGAUGUUGAUGCCGUGUCUGCAGGAUCGUUUACAACGAACGUCGUUGCGGCUGCGCCCGUCUUAUACUGCAAAAAGACGUUAGAUAUCUCCAACACCGCGCGUGCUGUGUUAAUUAAUGCAGGUCAAGCAAAUGCCGCAACGGGCAAAGAAGGUUACCAGGACGUGAUAGAAUGUGUGGAAAGCCUUGCUAAGCUACAAAAAGUGAAGCCAGAAGAAAUAUUAGUUGAAUCCACCGGUGUAAUUGGUCAAAGAAUAAAGAAGGGGAAACUUUUAAACUCACUCCCUACACUAGUGAGUUCACUUUCAUCUUCAGUUGAGGGGGCAGAUUCUGCAGCAGUGGCCAUCACCACGACAGAUCUUGUUAGCAAGAGUGUGGCAAUUGAGUCUUUGGUUGGAGGAACUAAGGUCAGAAUUGGGGGAAUGGCAAAAGGUUCUGGAAUGAUCCACCCAAAUAUGGCUACCAUGCUUGGGGUAAUAACAACUGAUGCUCGGGUAACCAGUGAUGUUUGGAGAAAGAUGGUGCAGGUUGCUGUGAACCGAAGUUUCAACCAGAUAACUGUAGAUGGAGAUACUAGUACUAAUGAUACUGUUAUUGCUUUGGCUAGUGGGUUGUCUGGGAUAGGCUGCAUAUCUUCUCUGGACAAUGAUGAGGCUAUUCAACUUCAGGCAUGCCUAGAUGCGGUAAUGCAAGGUCUUGCCAAAUCAAUAGCUUGGGAUGGAGAGGGAGCAACAUGCCUCGUUGAGGUCAGUGUGACUGGUGCAAAUAGUGAGGCUGAAGCUGCAAAAGUUGCACGUUCAGUUGCAUCAUCUUCACUUGUAAAGGCUGCUAUAUAUGGUAGAGACCCCAACUGGGGACGCAUUGCUGCUGCAGCUGGUUACUCGGGGGUUUCAUUCCACCAAGAUUCACUUAGGGUGGAGCUGGGGGAUAUUUUACUAAUGGAUGGUGGGGAACCACAAUUAUUUGACCGCUUGAAAUCGUGGCAGGAACGCGGCUAGUAGUUAUCUUAGAAAGGCUGGGGAGACUCACGACACAGUUAGAAUUCAGAUAUCAGUUGGCAAUGGACCAGGACGUGGACAAGCAUGGGGCUGUGAUUUAAGCUAUGAUUAUGUUAAAAUAAAUGCCGAGUACACAACAUAAACAAAUGUAAAUUCUCACACUAUAUUGGCACAGUGAUGGGGUUGAUUAUGAUCUAAUUAGAUAUUGUGGAGGAUUUUAAUUUUGAUUUCAUAUUUAGAGAUUAUUUUGAACUUAUGGUAACUACGCAUUAUCUUUUAUAUUUAUUUGUAUUUGGUAAUCUUUAUCUCAAGAUGAGGAAUUUUAUCUU